AUUCCCUGCAUUCAUGAAGCUAUUUCAUGUGAGUGAUUGGAGCUGGCAGGAAAGAGGAGCCCAGUUCCUCUGCCCUGGGACCUGUGUACAGGGGCUUUGACCUGCCCUUCCUCAACCCUUUAGUGGCUGAAUUGGAGCAAGACAAGUCUAAUUGCUAAUAAGCAAUUGCUUUUAUACUGUUCUUGGAAAUUAUCUUUACUGAUGGUGACGAUGAUUUUUUUUUUGCCUUCUUGCUUUUGUGCUGCUUUCCUGCUGUGCUUUUGCUAGUUGCCUAUGUCUCAUCUCACUGCAGCCAGGGGAUUUGCCAUAUCUUAUCUGGUGCCUCAUUAUUUACCUGCUGUACUGCACAAUUCAUUUAAGUGAAAUUGUUUUUAACCGUUAUUGUGGAAGGCUGUGGCUCUUUGGAGCAGAUUCCUCUUGUGAAUGGCCCUGAGGGGAUUGGGAAGAGGCUGGUGGGGGGCUGUGUUGUGGGGUACAGGAGCACCAGGCAGGGAAAACAGUGUGGGUUACCCUUGCUGCUUCGCCUGCCCAGUGAGAAAUGGGCUAGUGCCAGCUGGAAUUCUGUGCCUCUCCUGCAGCUCUGUGAAAAUCAAGCCCCAAAGCCUGACCUUCACCAUCAGUGGGAGGGGGCACGAGCCGCAGGUGACAGUGGUGUGCCCAAGAGCUCGCAGCAAGAGAGGAAAUGCCGUGCUGCGGUGCCCAAGAGCUCGCAGCAAGAGAGGAAAUGCCGUGCUGCGCUUCCAGAGGCUCCAGCUGGGGGAUUUAGAGAUGCGCCCCCUGGUCGUCCGUAACAACGGCAUCGUACCUGUCAAGUUUAUGUUACACCUGGAGGAUGAGCAUGGAGUGUUCUUCUUGAAAGGCAGGCGCUCCACACUGGAGAGAUUCCAGACUGAAGAUGUGGGAGAGGACUCUGAUGAAAACGGUAAAUUCAUUAACCAUGAAGUGCGAUUGUGCACAGAGGGAAAACGUGUGCCCUGCUCUUGGCUUCUCUGAGCUGCAGACAGAUGUUAAAGACACUUUCUCUCCUUGGGCUCUCUGUCCCCCAAGCUUUUCUUGGGGAUUUUUUGCAGGGUUUCCUCCUAGCAAGUUGUAGGAAGUUCUUCUGUUCUUCUAGACAUGAUGCUGUCGGGAACAUUAACCCUGGUGUCCACAGACACCAGAGGUUUAUGUCCAAAAAGGAGACAGAGGAGUCCUUGUACUCUAUUUGAAUAAAGGGAGCAGCCAUGGGGCA
RNAcentral lists this long non-coding RNA (1231 nucleotides) under Parus major (Great Tit). Its description in RNAcentral is "lncRNA (ENSPMJG00000001919.1)". The record is from RNAcentral. Lineage: Eukaryota; Metazoa; Chordata; Aves; Passeriformes; Paridae.